AUGCACUUACCAAGGGAUAUGCGCAACUGGGAGGAGUGGUCUUUUUUUGAAGAAGUAGAAGAAUUUGCUGUCGAUGAAGGGAGAGAGGAUGGAGCUGUUGAGACUCGUCCAGAGGAUGCCCAAUCUGCAAGGUUGUCACUGCUGCCUCGUUUGGUGCUGUUGAGACUCGAAAAUUGCCCGAAGCUGAGGACUCUCCCGCGGCAGCUUGGAGAGGACACCACCAACUUGAAGAUGCUCAAAUUAAUUGGAGCAAACAACUUGAAGGCUGUCGAAGAUUUCCCACACCUCGCCGACCUCCUCCUUAUUGAGAAAUGUGAAGGCAUGGAGAGGAUCUCCAACCUCCCUCAAGUGACGAAACUGCAUGUCCAUGGUUGUCCAAACUUAAGCCAUGUAGAGGGGCUGGGAAGUUUGCAACAGCUAUGGCUGGGUGAGGAUAUGCAAGAGGUCUCUUCCCGCUGGGUGCCUGGGCUUCAAGAGCACCACCAGCGACUUCAUGGGGAAGCCCUGGAUGUCUACACGUUGUCUACCAGUUAG
RNAcentral lists this ribosomal RNA (534 nucleotides) under Triticum aestivum (bread wheat). RNAcentral's name for it is "partial small subunit ribosomal RNA". Lineage: Eukaryota; Viridiplantae; Streptophyta; Magnoliopsida; Poales; Poaceae. The record is from RNAcentral.